CUUCUUCUCGGUGUACACGUGUAUUCUUCGAAUAAUUUUCAUACAAUUAACGGGAGAGAAAUCAUUGCAAUGGACUCAACGUUUUCUAAUCUACUAUUUAUCUAAAUACUUCCUUGUAAACUGAAUAAGGACAAAAAGGAAACGUAAUGCUAUUAUCUCGGUACACGGUAAGAAGACUUCAAAGUUCAUUUUCUACAUUUUUAUUCUUGGCAUGUUGACUU
Molecule: long non-coding RNA, 221 nt
Organism: Apis laboriosa (Himalayan honeybee)
Lineage: Eukaryota; Metazoa; Arthropoda; Insecta; Hymenoptera; Apidae
Exons: 3
Source: RefSeq, a predicted model, not a curated record